GAUGAACGCUGGCGGUGUGCCUAACACAUGCAAGUCGAACGAGCCUUCGGGCUAGUGGCGGACGGGUGAGUAACACGUUAGUACCUGCCCUUUAGUGGGGAAUAACUCGGCGAAAGUCGAGCUAAUACCGCAUGUGACCGUUUACGGUCAAAGACUUCGGUCGCUAAAGGAGGGGCUUGCGUCUGAUUAGCUAGUUGGUAAGGUAAAAGCUUACCAAGGCGACGAUCAGUAGCUGGUUCGAGAGGANGACCAGCCACACGCGGACUGAGAUACGGCCGCGACUCCUACGGGAGGCAGCAGUGAGGAAUCUUCCACAAUGGGCGAAAGCCUGAUGGAGCAACACCGCGUGCAGGAUGACGGCCUU
This 364-nucleotide ribosomal RNA is filed under the name uncultured bacterium. RNAcentral's name for it is "bacterial SSU rRNA". It matches the Rfam family "Bacterial small subunit ribosomal RNA", at positions 28 to 418 of the family's 1533-position model. The record is from RNAcentral.